RNAcentral lists this transfer RNA (77 nucleotides) under Rhizobium sp. LCM 4573. Its description in RNAcentral is "tRNA-OTHER". It matches the Rfam family "tRNA". Rfam says of the family: Transfer RNA (tRNA) molecules are approximately 80 nucleotides in length. Their secondary structure includes four short double-helical elements and three loops (D, anti-codon, and T loops). Lineage: Bacteria; Pseudomonadati; Pseudomonadota; Alphaproteobacteria; Hyphomicrobiales; Rhizobiaceae. The record is from RNAcentral.
GCACCCGUAGCUCAGCUGGAUAGAGUGUUGGAUUCCRAUUCCAAAGGUCACAGGUUCGAAUCCUGUCGGGUGCGCCA